RNAcentral lists this ribosomal RNA (516 nucleotides) under Triticum aestivum (bread wheat). Its description in RNAcentral is "partial small subunit ribosomal RNA". The record is from RNAcentral. Lineage: Eukaryota; Viridiplantae; Streptophyta; Magnoliopsida; Poales; Poaceae.
AUGAAAGAGCUCAGGGCCAAAGUGGACGAUGUCAGCCAGAGGAACAUACGCUACCAGCUCAUCAAGGGCUCGUCAGCUGCUUCUUCUUCCCCCUCCAAGCAGCUAACAGCUGAAAAAUCUGCAACGGCGUCGGUGUUUGGCAUCCAUGGUGCCGCCGAGCAGCACAACGAAUCAAACAUGGAUCUUGCCCAGCUCCUCAUGGUCAGCUGCAAGGAUGAAAAUAAUGACCUUGGGCUUGGGGUGAUCGCCGUGUGGGGAACGAGUGAUGAUCUCGGGCAGACAUCCAUCAUCAGUGAAGUCUACGAGAAUCCAAAUGUCACAACCAAAUUCCCAUGCCGAGCUUGGGUCAGGCUGACACAUCCUUUUGAUGCAAAGGACUUCGUCCACAGCUUAGUUCAGCAGUUCCAUCAUACAACAAAUGAUGCACGAGAAGAUGGACGAGAAGAUGCCGCAACAGCUGGCUCAGGAGUUUUAUGGUUAUGUGAAGCGGAAGAGAUAUCUGGUUGUGGUCAAUGA